This 45-nucleotide non-coding RNA is filed under the name Schistosoma margrebowiei. Lineage: Eukaryota; Metazoa; Platyhelminthes; Trematoda; Strigeidida; Schistosomatidae. The record is from RNAcentral.
AUCCAGCUGAGGAGUUCCAGACGGGACGGAACGCGCGUCCUGGAU